This is a long non-coding RNA of Parus major (Great Tit), 1978 nucleotides long. RefSeq lists it as uncharacterized. The transcript is spliced from 4 exons. NCBI's taxonomy places the organism in Eukaryota, Metazoa, Chordata, Aves, Passeriformes, Paridae. The record is from RefSeq and is a predicted model, not a curated record.
GUUGAAUGGUAAAAGAUAGAGAAUUUCAGCUGCUUCAUUGAACAAUCUUCAUGUAAAAUGACUGGCAGAGUAUAUUUAGAAGAGAUCAGAAAAUGUUCUUCAGCUGAAUGACUUCAGUGCUACAGAAGCUGUAUACAGCAAAGCAGAAGAAAAGGAGUCAGGGAGGAGAAAAGAACAGUAACAAGGAGAAACUCAUCAUUUUUGCUUCUACCUCUGAAUGGGGGCUGGUGUCUCUCUAGGAAUCAAGGUGCUCAAGGUCCCUUGAGGCAAAAGAGAAUAAAUUGCCAGUAGCAGACAAGGAGAAUGCAAUUGUAUAUAAGAUGCCACUUUAACAGGUACUGCCUCUGGGGGAAAAAAUACUCUGAAGACUUAUGAUAACCCAGAAUCCUUAUUUCAUAACACUUUUGAUUUAACAUAUUCAGGAAUUUGAGCUUGGACUUGGGAAAAUUACAACAAACUGCACUCAUGGUCAUUUCUUCAGACUGGAAGAAACUUGUAGUGAAUAAAUCCAUCCUCUAAGGAUUCGGUCCCCUUUUGCAGGAAUAACAGAAACACUUAAGAUGGUGACACGUGUCUCUGUGUUAGAAUGCUUAAUUUGAUUUUUUAAUUUGCUUAUGCCACUAUUCAGUCUAUUUAUUAUUCCAGUCUCUAUUUCCUACUCUUGAGAGAGUAACUCUGCUUUCCUGGCAUGUUAGAAUGAAGUGAGGUACUGGGAACAUACCAUAGAUGAAAGAAAAAAGAAGGAAUUAUGUAUAAUGUUUCAAAGAUUAUGUUUCUUAAAGAAUAUUUCUUAGCUAUAAAAUUAUCAUACCUAUGUGUAAUCUGUACCACCUAUAUUAUAGCAUUAGAGACUGAUCAGUGAAGUUUUCUGGUUAAAAUGACAAGUUAAGAUAUGAAACAGCAUUUUCCACCAUUUUCCCUUCUGUUACUUCUUGGAAAAAUCUUUAUUGCAUAUUUUAAAUAGUUUGUUGUGUUUCAUAGUUUAUCCUUAUGUUAAUUCAAACACAGUAUUUCUCUCUAUGCUGUUACAAUGCCUGGAACAGCAUAUAUUUUAGAUGGUUGAAAUUAAUUUCAGUGUAAGACUUUCAUGAGUAAGCCAAGGGGAAAAUGAAACAAACAAAAAAAUCAUUUAAAGUAGAAUGCAGGAAGAAUGGAGGAAAUCAUAAAGAUUUAUAAAGGAUAAAUAUUCACAAAAAAAAAAUAUUGAAAGUUAAUCAGCUGGAAACAAUGUUUUCUAAUUAAAAAAAAAUAAACAAUGUAAAUUAUCCCAAACUGUUUUGUCUAUGAAACAUAUUUUGCAUUUGUACUUUUCUUCCUUUCCCUGCCUUUUAUAUCAGAAGGUGUUCUGUGAAUAAAGUCAGGGUACACCUCUCAGCUGCUUUAAAAGGGGGAGAAUUUCUCACACAAUUCAGAAAAUGUUUCAAGAAAGGUGUUGAUCUAAAUAUUAAACAAUCACAUUUUCACCCUUCAUUUAUAGUAAAAUUCUUGCAAUCUCAGAAAAAUUUGAUCAAUCACAUAACAUCCUGAGUCAGUUAAAGGUGUUAACUAGACACAGUUUGGAUUGGCCCCUCACUUGGAGGUUUUGGCACCACCACUCAGCUGGAAGAAUGUUUAUAAACCUGCUGCCAUGCAAAGUUACCCAAGCUACUUCAGAACACUUUAGUGUCUGUUCAGACUAACUCCAUUCCCCUUGAAAUUUCAUAAAAGAGUAACAGGUUAUUAAUAUGGUAUUGUAAGACAAUAUUUUAAAAUAUCACAGCUGUUUUUACCACCUGCAUCAUCAAAUUUGUUCAUCUACAAAAUAUAGUGAAAAUUUCAAAACAGAAAUUUCAAAGCAGACGAAAAACCAGUAUUUCUAUUUAAAUAAUUCAGUGCAGCACUCUGUAAAAUGCAGUCUUCUCAGCUUAUACUUCAGGCUUAUUUCACAAGGUCUUCCUUAAAAAAAUGCAAUCCUUAUCUCUAGGAUGUUUCAUGCACA